Molecule: long non-coding RNA, 431 nt
Organism: Anguilla rostrata (American eel)
Lineage: Eukaryota; Metazoa; Chordata; Actinopteri; Anguilliformes; Anguillidae
Exons: 3
Source: RefSeq, a predicted model, not a curated record
UCAAGUUUGGAUUGGUAGAGUAGAGCUGAUGACUUCAAUUGACAACAGCUGAAGCUUGUUAGCUUUAAAGAGCUUUGCCAGUGAUUCAACGCAAGAUGGAAGAGCGAAUGUUUGGAUCAGAAAGCAGUGUGUUCAUCAGUCUUUAAGAAAACCAGGCAGCGACAUACAUCCAGCCAGUCGUCCAAAGGGAAAAGCAUCGGACCGACCGACAUCAUCAACUUGGCUUUUUUAUUGAACUGAAGAUCUGAACCUAAUUAUCAGAUUGAUUGAGACCCGACUGCAUGCUGCUUCCUCCACUCAUACCCCUGCUGCAUAUUAAUUGCUCAACAGUGUGAUCAAUGUGUGUUCAGAGAGGGGGAAAAAAAACAAAAACAAACAAAAAUAAAACAAACUGUUUGACAGUUACUGCUAAUGUUAUAAGCUGGUAGAGU